UGUUACAAUGGGGGGUACAGAGGGCCGCUACCACGCGAGUGGAUGCCAAUCCCCAAAACCUCUCUCAGUUCGGACUGGAGUCUGCAACCCGACUCCACGAAGCUGGAUUCGCUAGUAAUCGCGCAUCAGCCACGGCGCGGUGAAUACGUUCCCGGGCCUUGUACACACCGCCCGUCAAGCCAUGGGAGCCGGGGGUACCUGAAGUGCGUAACCGCGAGGAGCGCCCUAGGGUAAAACUGGUGACUGGGGCUAAGUCGUAACAAGGUAUC
Molecule: ribosomal RNA, 269 nt
Filed under: uncultured bacterium
Lineage: Bacteria
Description: partial 16S ribosomal RNA
Rfam family: Bacterial small subunit ribosomal RNA
Source: RNAcentral